This 301-nucleotide ribosomal RNA is filed under the name uncultured bacterium. RNAcentral's name for it is "partial 16S ribosomal RNA". It matches the Rfam family "Bacterial small subunit ribosomal RNA", at positions 509 to 807 of the family's 1533-position model. The record is from RNAcentral.
CAGUAGCCGCGGUAAGACGGAGGAUGCAAGCGUUAUCCGGAAUGAUUGGGCAUAAAGCGUCUGUAGGUGGUUUAUUAAGUCUACUGUUAAAGAUCAGGGCUUAACCCUGAGUCGGCAGUAGAAACUAAUGAGCUUGAGUACGGUAGGGGCAGAGGGAAUUCCCGGUGUAGCGGUGAAAUGCGUAGAGAUCGGGAAGAACACCAAUGGCGAAAGCACUCUGCUGGGCCGAAACUGACACUCAGAGACGAAAGCUAGGGGAGCGAAUGGGAUUAGAUACCCCCGUAGUCCCUGUCUCUUAUAC